CUCGACUGGGUCAGUCCCAGUUGUGUUACUGAGUUUUGGCUGGCAGGCAGGCCUUGUUGAAUAUCACGUAUAUUCCAGUCCGAGUGGGACUUUUUAAUGUAAGUUCUCUGCAGCACCAAAUGUGGCCCCACCAUGACCUCAGAUGUCACAGUGGUUGUUCAACCAGAGGACAAGGUGAUCCCUCCUAAACCUGCAUCAGCACUGAGGAAAAACCUUCAAGUCAGCCAUGGAGCAGAAAGCUAAUGAGUGUCCCACCACCACCUCUCCUCAGAAGCACAUGAAGAAUAGGUCUAAAUCCACAGAGGAGAUGCAGCAGUCGAAGAAGGCCUUUGCUUCACAAAAAUCCCUGCCAGGCCGACCAGAGCUGGACAGAGUGAAGGAGUGUCCUGAUGGCUCUGACACGCCUUCAUCCUCCAGUGAAGAACUAAAGUGAUAAAAAAAACAGCAGGACAAUAAAGCUGCAAUUAAACUAUAAAACCAUAAACAUAAAUGUACAUAUGUACACAGGGAAAUGUGCAGAAAAUUGAGGAUAAUAGCAAGUUAGAAAAUAAAACAAACAAGCCAUGAAUUUAAGAAGAGCUUAAGGAAAAUGUAUAUAAAGCAUCGAUUCACAUUCAGACUCAAAAACACACCGAGACAAUCGCAUGUAAACAAAAGGACACCUGUGAUGAUGCUGUUUCAUUGUGCUGUGAGUGGUGUCUACAUAGCAACUGAAUGUGUAGUGACAAUAAAGUGAUGUUGUGUGUGCUGAAACACCGUAGAACUGUUUGUCAGGUUCCUUUAAAGAGUUCAACUUAAUAAAGCUACAAUUUAAGACUUUUACUGAGGAAGCCAGACCUCUGACAGGUGAAUAAAAUGCCUGAAAAUGACUUCCAAUGAAAUCAUUUGAAUUUCAACAGAGGUUAUUCCAUCACUGCAUCCUUUGGAAGCCCCAGUUUAACAAUAACAUCAGAAUAAAAUGUAGCUUUAUCAUCCACCAGAGGGGCAAAUUCUUAUACUAACACACAAAAGCAGUUUAACUGUUAAAAUAUUUAAUUGUGACACUAACUAUAGAAAAGAAUAAGCAUUUCUGCAAGGUGGCUAGAUCAGAGCUGCUUCAUCACUCAUUGUGCUGUAAGUAUAAAAUAAAAACCAGUGGAGUAACUUGUAAAUGUUUAUUUGCACUUGGUAUACAAUAUUUUUUAUUUGCCAAAGGCGCCGCUCAGAGGUCAUAAUCUCAAACUGAGGAAAUAGAGGAAAUGUCUGUCUGGAUGCUCAUGGAUACACAGGUUUUUCAGCCUUAUCUGGCAUUUCCCAGUUAUGUUGCUGCAGCUGAGGCAUUCAAACAAUGAUGUCAAGUCACGUGUAAAAAUGCAACUAAGAUUUUAGGAUUUAAUUUGAAGUUAUAUGCAUUUCUUUGGAACAUGGUUAAUACUGAAUGGUUCUGCACAUUAAACAAGCUAAAUAUGACAAGGUUUGUUAUGAAAUUCUGCUCUGUACAGUAUUGUCAAUAUUUAUCUCCAAAUUAGUGCUGUAAUUAGCAGAUAUUUUUCACUUGCUAAUCUGAUAAUUUGUUUGGC
Long non-coding RNA from Amphiprion ocellaris (clown anemonefish), 1559 nucleotides. The record is from Ensembl. Lineage: Eukaryota; Metazoa; Chordata; Actinopteri; Pomacentridae.